GACGAACGCUGGCGGCGUGCUUAACACAUGCAAGUCGAGCGGUAAGGCCCUUUCGGGGGUACGACGAGCGGCGAACGGGUGAGUAACACGUGGGUGACCUGCCCUCAGCUCUGGGAUAAGCCUGGGAAACCGGGUCUAAUACCGGAUAUGACUCCAUGACGCAUGUUGUGGGGUGGAAAGCCUUGUGCGGCUGAGGAUGGGCCCGCGGCCUAUCAGCUUGUUGGUGGGGUGAGGCCUACCAAGGCGACGACGGGUAGCCGGCCUGAGAGGGCGACCGGCCACACUGGGACUGAGACACGGCCCAGACUCCUACGGGAGGCAGCAGUGGGGAAGUCUUGCGCAAUGGGCGAAAGCCUGACGCAGCGACG
Molecule: ribosomal RNA, 368 nt
Filed under: uncultured bacterium
Lineage: Bacteria
Description: bacterial SSU rRNA
Rfam family: Bacterial small subunit ribosomal RNA
Source: RNAcentral